AUAUAUAUAGUUUAAUAAAAACAUUACAUUUUCAUUGUAAAAAUAAAAUAAAUUAUUUUUAUAUAUA
RNAcentral lists this transfer RNA (67 nucleotides) under Vanessa indica (Asian admiral). Its description in RNAcentral is "tRNA-Glu". The record is from RNAcentral. Lineage: Eukaryota; Metazoa; Arthropoda; Insecta; Lepidoptera; Nymphalidae.